Molecule: ribosomal RNA, 308 nt
Filed under: Foraminifera environmental sample
Lineage: Eukaryota; Foraminifera
Description: partial small subunit ribosomal RNA
Source: RNAcentral
CGGUCACGUUCGUUGGUUAGAAGAAGGGAGUGUACUUUGGAUGGCUGAAAAAAACCACCAUUCUCCUGCCAAUAGGAACUUAUCUUUAUAUAUCUGAAUCGUAAUUAUUCCGACAGAUCACUCCACGGACUAAGAACGGCCGUGCACCAUCAAUCGGGAGGGGUGAGCGGACUUUCUUAUGUAACAAACCAUUAUCAUACCAAUAUAACACUUCUCGCCUGUCGAUCCUCAGAGUGCCCGGACCCGGUAAGUUAUCCCGCGAAGGUCGUUAUUAAACCAAAUGCUCCACCCGUUCAUGCGGGGCCCCU